GGGGUAACCUGCCUGUAAGACUGGGAUAACUCCGGGAAACCGGGGCUAAUACCGGAUGCUUGAUUGAACCGCAUGGUUCAAUUAUAAAAGGUGGCUUUUAGCUACCACUUACAGAUGGACCCGCGGCGCAUUAGCUAGUUGGUGAGGUAACGGCUCACCAAGGCAACGAUGCGUAGCCGACCUGAGAGGGUGAUCGGCCACACUGGGACUGAGACACGGCCCAGACUCCUACGGGAGGCAGCAGUAGGGAAUCUUCCGCAAUGGACGAAAGUCUGACGGAGCAACGCCGCGUGAGUGAUGAAGGUUUUCGGAUCGUAAAACUCUGUUGUUAGGGAAGAACAAGUACCGUUCGAAUAGGGCGGUACCUUGACGGUACCUAACCAGAAAGCCACGGCUAACUACGUGCCAGCAGCCGCGGUAAUACGUAGGUGGCAAGCGUUGUCCGGAAUUAUUGGGCGUAAAGCGCGCGCAGGCGGUUUCUUAAGUCUGAUGUGAAAGCCCCCGGCUCAACCGGGGAGGGUCAUUGGAAACUGGGGAACUUGAGUGCAGAAGAGGAGAGUGGAAUUCCACGUGUAGCGGUGAAAUGCGUAGAGAUGUGGAGGAACACCAGUGGCGAAGGCGACUCUCUGGUCUGUAACUG
Molecule: ribosomal RNA, 640 nt
Filed under: Bacillus sonorensis
Lineage: Bacteria; Bacillati; Bacillota; Bacilli; Caryophanales; Bacillaceae
Description: bacterial SSU rRNA
Rfam family: Bacterial small subunit ribosomal RNA
Source: RNAcentral